RNAcentral lists this ribosomal RNA (496 nucleotides) under uncultured bacterium. Its description in RNAcentral is "partial 16S ribosomal RNA". It matches the Rfam family "Bacterial small subunit ribosomal RNA", at positions 28 to 507 of the family's 1533-position model. The record is from RNAcentral.
GAUGAACGCUGGCGGCGUGCCUAAUACAUGCAAGUAGAACGCCGAAGCAGGAAGCUCGUGCUCUUACGAUGAGUGGCGAACGGGUGAGUAACGCGUAGGUAGCCUUCUUGUUAGCCGGGGAGGACUACGGAAAACGAUAUACACUACCACAUAAUACGACAUGCUGCAUGAUACCUACUUAAAUCGUGCAAUUGCCGCAUGACCAGACGGACCUCGGUUUUAUUAGCUAGUUGGUGAGGUAACGGCCCACCAAGGCGACGAUACGUAGCCGGCCUGAGAGGAUGAUCAGCCACACUGGAGCUGAGACACGGCCCAGACUCCUAGGGGAGGAGCCAGAGGGGAACUUUGGACAUGGGGCGCAAGCCGGCCGCGCAAAGCCGCGGGGGGGGAGGAAGGUUUCGGGUCGUAAAGGUCUGUUGGUUGGGAAGAAAGAGUGGGAGGUUAAAACGCCGCUGUUGUGACGGUACCUAACCAGUAAGAAACGGCUAACUUCGUG